ACUCUUACUUUCAGAAACGAAGUUCAAGUGUUGAAGAGAGUAAGAUUGAAGAAGAAAUCCAGAAGAAGCUGGAUAUGGAAAAGAUAGCUUCUGCUUCAAACAUGAUUAUUCGUGUGGUGGAUUUAGGAUGUGCAACUGGUCCAAACACGAUCAUGACUGCACAAAGUGUGGUUGAAGCCAUGAAACACAAGUACAAAACACAAUGUCCGAACACUGAAACAGCACCAGAAUUUCAUGUCUUCUUCAAUGACCUA
Molecule: small RNA, 254 nt
Filed under: Vigna angularis var. angularis
Lineage: Eukaryota; Viridiplantae; Streptophyta; Magnoliopsida; Fabales; Fabaceae
Description: Non-protein coding transcript
Source: RNAcentral